This 380-nucleotide ribosomal RNA is filed under the name uncultured microorganism. Its description in RNAcentral is "bacterial SSU rRNA". It matches the Rfam family "Bacterial small subunit ribosomal RNA", at positions 346 to 716 of the family's 1533-position model. The record is from RNAcentral.
GCGCAGCAGUCGAGAAUCUUCCACAAUGGACGAAAGUCUGAUGGAGCGACGCCGCGUGCGGGAUGAAGGCCUUAUGGGUUGUAAGCCGCUGUCAGGGGGAAGAACAUCGGGAAUGAACAAUACUCAUUCCGACUGACGUUACCCCCAGAGGAAGCUCCGGCCAACUCCGUGCCAGCAGCCGCGGUAAUACGGGGGGAGCAAGCGUUGUCCGGAAUUAUUGGGCGUAAAGGGCGUGUAGGCGGCGAGGUAAGUCGAAUGUGAAAUCUCACGGCUCAACCGUGAAACUGCGUUCGAAACUACCCUGCUUGAGUACGGGAGAGGUGUACGGAAUUCCUGGUGUAGCGGUGGAAUGCGUAGAUAUCAGGAAGAACACCGGUGGC